UGAAUACGAGACGCUAAGGCGUCGAAGUAGUGUAUGUCAUACUUCCAAGAAAAGCUUGCACUGUCAUAGAUAAAAAACGCCUGUACCAUAACCGACACAGGUGGGUAGGUAGAGUAUACUAAGGGGCGCGAGAUAACUCUCUCUAAGGAACUCGGCAAAAUAACUCCGUAACUUCGGGAGAAGGAGUGCCUUAUUAUUAAGGCUGCAAUAACAAGAUCCAAGCAACUGUUUAUCAAAAACACAGGUCUCCGCUAAGUCGUAAGACGAUGUAUGGGGGCUGACGCCUGCCCAGUGCCAGAAGGUUAAAGAAGUUGGUUAGCAUUUGCGAAGCUGAUAACUGAAGCCCUGGUGAACGGCGGCCGUAACUAUAACGGUCCUAAGGUAGCGAAAUUCCUUGUCGGGUAAGUUCCGACCCGCACGAAAGGCGUAAUGAUUUGGAUACUGUCUCGGAGAGGGGCUCGGUGAAAUAGACUUGUCUGUGAAGAUGCGGACUACCUGCACCAGGACAGAAAGACCCUAUGAAGCUUUACUGUAACUUGAAAUUGAAAUUGGACUUUAUUCGCGCAGCAUAGGUGGGAGGCGUUGAUUAUAAUCUUGUGGGAUUAUUGGAGCCAUCAGUGAGAUACCACUCUUGUAAUGUUAGAUUUCUAACUUUGAAUCAUUAUCUGGUCAAAGAACAGUUUCAGGCGGGCAGUUUGACUGGGGCGGUCGCCUCCUAAACGGUAACGGAGGCGUACAAAGGUUUCCUCUGAACGGUUAGAAAUCGUAUCUAGAGUGUAAAGGCAUAAGGAAGCUUGACUGUGAGACCUACAAGUCGAGCAGGGACGAAAGUCGGUCCUAGUGAUCUGACGGUACUGAGUGGAAAGGCCGUCACUCAACGGAUAAAAGUUACUCUAGGAUAACAGGCUGAUCUCCCCCAAGAGUUCACAUCGACGGGGAGGUUUGGCACCUCGAUGUCGGCUCAUCGCAUCCUGGGGCGGUAGUACGUCCCAAGGGUUGGGCUGUUCGCCCAUGAAAGCGGUACGCGAGCUGGGUUCAGAACGUCGUGAGACAGUUCGGUCCAUAUCCGGUGUAGGCGUUAGAAUAUUGAGAGGAGCCUUCUUUAGUACGAGAGGACCGAGAAGGACAUACCUCUGGUGUACCAGUUAUCGUGCCAACGGUAAACGCUGGGUAGCUAUGUAUGGAGUGGAUAACCGCUGAAAGCAUCUAAGUGGGAAGCCCACCUCAAGAUAAGUAUUCUCA
RNAcentral lists this ribosomal RNA (1242 nucleotides) under metagenome. RNAcentral describes it as "bacterial LSU rRNA". It matches the Rfam family "Bacterial large subunit ribosomal RNA", at positions 1564 to 2816 of the family's 2925-position model. The record is from RNAcentral.